This 813-nucleotide ribosomal RNA is filed under the name bacterium ACEMC 4-5. RNAcentral describes it as "bacterial SSU rRNA". It matches the Rfam family "Bacterial small subunit ribosomal RNA", at positions 62 to 873 of the family's 1533-position model. The record is from RNAcentral.
UCGAACGGUAACAGAACUAGCUUGCUAGUUGCUGACGAGUGGCGGACGGGUGAGUAAUGCUUGGGAAUUUGCCUUUAGGUGGGGGACAACAGUUGGAAACGACUGCUAAUACCGCAUGAUAGCUACGGCUCAAAGGGGGCUUCGGCUCCCGCCUUUAGAGAAGCCCAAGUGGGAUUAGGUAGUUGGUGAGGUAAAGGCUCACCAAGCCCACGAUCCCUAGCUGGUCUGAGAGGAUGAUCAGCCACACUGGAACUGAGACACGGUCCAGACUCCUACGGGAGGCAGCAGUGGGGAAUAUUGCACAAUGGGCGAAAGCCUGAUGCAGCCAUGCCGCGUGUGUGAAGAAGGCCUUCGGGUUGUAAAGCACUUUCAGCGAGGAGGAAAGCUUAGUCGUUAAUACCGGCUAGGUGUGACGUUACUCGCAGAAGAAGCACCGGCUAACUCCGUGCCAGCAGCCGCGGUAAUACGGAGGGUGCGAGCGUUAAUCGGAAUUACUGGGCGUAAAGCGUACGCAGGCGGCCAUUUAAGUCAGAUGUGAAAGCCCCGGGCUCAACCUGGGAACUGCAUUUGAAACUGGAUGGCUAGAGUGCGACAGAGGGUGGUAGAAUUUCAGGUGUAGCGGUGAAAUGCGUAGAGAUCUGAAGGAAUACCAAUGGCGAAGGCAGCCACCUGGGUCGACACUGACGCUCAUGUACGAAAGCGUGGGUAGCAAACAGGAUUAGAUACCCUGGUAGUCCACGCCGUAAACGAUGUCUACUAGCAGUUUGGAGCUUAAGCUCUGUCUUGCGCAGCUAACGCAUUAAGUAGACCGCC